Molecule: long non-coding RNA, 1700 nt
Filed under: Anthonomus grandis grandis
Lineage: Eukaryota; Metazoa; Arthropoda; Insecta; Coleoptera; Curculionidae
Description: uncharacterized LOC126744230
Source: RNAcentral
GUUGCCAUAAUUUACGCUCUCAAAAUUAAGAAAUCUAAACGAAAAAGAAGGUACUGGGUACAUCCGUUAUACGAAAGGCGUCUGACAAAUGGUCAGUUUCAUUGCCUUCGGUUGAGGGAAUAUCCCGAAAAGUUUUUUAAUUAUUACAGAAUGAGCGUUACGUCUUUUGAUGAAUUAGUGACGUUGAUGAGACCUCACUUGCAAAAGUCACUUUAGAGAUUGCAUCACUUUGGAAGAAAGAUUAACAGUCACUAUAAGGUAGUCAAAGAGAACUUUCCUGCAGGAUUAAAGUCUCCUAAAAUUCGAGGCAGAUUGAAAGUUGAAUUGGGAUUUUAUAUAUUUAAUUUCUUUAUUAAAAAGGCGUAGAUCAAAAUUCAUUUCUUCCGGGCAGUUGAAAAAGAAAACAAUUCGGAGAAUUUGAGAUUGUGGAGCUCCAGGGAAUGGAAAGAACCCAGCUUCAAAUCCCUGGACUACUUAAAUCAUUCUUCCUCUUCUCUUUUUAUAUUUUCUUACAGGUUUCAAGUCCCUGGCUUUAGAUCAUAAUUUAUUCCUUCAAAGCAGUUGAAAAAGAAAACAAUUCGGGCAAUUUGAGAUUGUGGAGCUCCAUGGAAUUGGAAGAAUCCAAUUUCAACUGCCUGGAUAAAUUAAAUCAUUCUUCCUCUUCUUUUUUUUUAUAUUUUCUUACAGGUUUCAAGUCCCUGGCUUUAGAUCAUAAUUUAUUCCUUCCAGGCAGUUGAAAAAGAAAACAAUUCGGGCAAUUUGAGAUUAUGGAGCUCCAGGGAAUUGAAAGAAUCUAAUUUCAACUGCCUGGAUGAAUUAAAUCAUUCUUCCUCUUCUCUUUUCCAUAUUUUCUUACAGGUUUCAAGUCCCUGGCUUUAGAUCAUAAUUUAUUCCUUCCAGGCAGUUGAAAAAGAAAACAAUUCGAGCAAUUUGAGAUUGUGGAGCUCCAGGGAAUUGAAAGAAUCCAACUUCAACUGCCUGGAUGAAUUAAAUCAUUCUUCCUCUUCUCUUUUUCAUAUUUUCUUACAGGUUUUAAGUCGCUGGCUUUAGAUCAUAAUUUAUUCCUUCAAAGCAGUUGAAAAAGAAAACAAUUCGGGCAAUUUGAGAUUGUGGAGCUCCAUGGAAUUGGAAGAAUCUAAUUUCAACCGCCUGGACGUAUUAAAUCAUUUCUCCUCUUCUCUUUUCCAUAUUUUCUUACAGGUUUCAAGUGCCUGGCUUUAGAUCAUAAUUUAUUUAUUCCAGGCAGUUGAAAAAGAAAACAAUUCGGACAAUUUGAGAUUGUGGAGCUCCAGGUAAUUGGAAGAAUCCAAUUUCAAUUGCCUGGACAAAUUAAACCAUUUUUCCUCUUUUCUUUUCCACAUUUUCUUACAGGUUUCAAGUGCCUGGCUUUAGAUCAUAAUUUAUUCCUUCCAGGCAGUUGAAAAAGAAAACAAUUUGGGCAAUUUGAGAUUGUGGAGCUCCAGGGAAUUGAAAGAAUCCAAUUUCAAGUGGCUGGAUGAAUUAAAUCAUUCUUCCUCUUCUCUUUUCCAUAUUUUCUUACAGGUUUCAAGUCCCUGGCUUUAGAUCAUAAUUUAUUCCUUCCAGGCAGUUGAAAAAAAAACAAUUCGGGCAAUUUGAGAUUGUGGAGUUCCAGGGAAUUGAAAGAAUCCAACUUCAACUGCCUGGAUGAAUUAAAUCAUUCUUCCUCUUCUCUUUUUCAU